RNAcentral lists this unclassified non-coding RNA (337 nucleotides) under soil metagenome. RNAcentral's name for it is "partial contains 5.8S ribosomal RNA, internal transcribed spacer 2, and large subunit ribosomal RNA". The stretch from base 1 to 120 matches the Rfam family "5.8S ribosomal RNA", at positions 35 to 154 of the family's 154-position model. The record is from RNAcentral.
GAUGAAGAACGCAGCGAAAUGCGAUAAGUAAUGUGAAUUGCAGAAUUCAGUGAAUCAUCGAAUCUUUGAACGCACAUUGCGCCCGCCAGUAUUCUGGCGGGCAUGCCUGUUCGAGCGUCAUUUCAACCAUCAAGCCCCCGGGCUUGCGUUGGGGACCUGCGGCUGCCGCAGGCCCUGAAAAGCAGUGGCGGGCUCGCUGUCACACCGAGCGUAGUAGAUUUUAUCUCGCUCAGGGCGUGCUGCGGGUUCCGGCCGUUAAACCACCUUCAUAACCCAAGGUUGACCUCGGAUCAGGUAGGAAGACCCGCUGAACUUAAGCAUAUCAAUAAGCGGAGGA